Molecule: ribosomal RNA, 402 nt
Filed under: uncultured bacterium
Lineage: Bacteria
Description: bacterial SSU rRNA
Rfam family: Bacterial small subunit ribosomal RNA
Source: RNAcentral
UGGGGAAUAUUGCACAAUGGGGGAAACCCUGAUGCAGCAACGCCGCGUGAGUGAUGAAGGCCUUCGGGUUGUAAAGCUCUGUCUUUGGGGACGAUAAUGACGGUACCCAAGGAGGAAGCCACGGCUAACUACGUGCCAGCAGCCGCGGUAAUACGUGGGUGGCAAGCGUUGUCCGGAUUUACUGGGCGUAAAGGGAGCGUAGGUGGAUAUUUAAGUGGGAUGUGAAAUCCCCGGGCUUAACCUGGGGGCUGCAUUCCAAACUGGAUGUCUAGAGUGCAGGAGAGGAGAGUGGAAUUCCUAGUGUAGCGGUGAAAUGCGUAGAGAUUAGGAAGAACACCAGUGGCGAAGGCGACUCUCUGGACUGUAACUGACACUGAGGCUCGAAAGCGUGGGGAGCAAACA